This 657-nucleotide long non-coding RNA is filed under the name Anser brachyrhynchus (Pink-footed goose). RNAcentral describes it as "lncRNA (ENSABRG00000004649.1)". Lineage: Eukaryota; Metazoa; Chordata; Aves; Anseriformes; Anatidae. The record is from RNAcentral.
GUCACAAGGACAUUUCAGUGUUGUACCUACCUCCUGAAGAGUUGCAGAUGAAUUUCUGGUGCACGAUACCAUGGUCAUUUUCACUUCUCACAAUGAUUUAAUUGUCUGGAAGAGCAAAGAAAAUGUUAUGUACGAACUGUAUCAUACAUAGAAGAAGCAACUCAGUGUCACAUCAGCUGAUGAAAUUAAGUUUUUUAUUCCCUGCCUAAAUCUUCCAUUUGGUAGCAAAAGCUCUACAGGGCUGGCAUUUAUCGAGAGAAGACACACAGCACAGCCUUGCAUAAAUAAUGGCACUGGUCCAAGUACAGCUGAGGUGGUUGCCAGCACAACUCUACUGAAGUCAAAGGAAUUGCACCAUGGGUGUUUCCUUAUGCCCUGUCUUGCCCUUCCCCUUCAAGAGCACAAAGGCAUGUGUGUGUAUCAAAGGAGAGGAGAAGUAAAGACGACCAGUGUUCUUGCAUGUCUUGUAUGAUUUUUCUUUGGCAAGUUAUCAGCUUUUCUUGGUGUCAUUACUUGUUUCUUGCAACGAGAUGUCUACUGUCUGCUUAAUGAGGUUUUGAAUGGCAGUCAACAUUUUUGCUUCUAAAAGAGAUGGAUGUAAAUAUUUGCACUAUUGAAAUCAAUAUUGAGUAGACUGGGAAGUAACUUGGGGUGGGG